AUUGAUGAUGAUUAUUGGUUUCAAUCCAACCCCAAAGUCAGCAUUUCAGAGUUGUGGGGGACCAGCAGUAAUUAGCAACCAAAAAGUGAGAUUCAUUAAUUUACAAUUUUUGAAAUAGUUGAGCCUGUCAUAUAAUUUGAAGGUCUAACUUAUUAUCAGCCAGGACAAUUCAUGCGUUUACAUACUUUCUACAAUCAACAGCGAGGAUUUAGAUCUGUUAGAUGGCAUCCUUGAUGCCUCUGGGAAGAGUUGGUCACUAUUUUGGUUGUGCUGUUCAUAAGGUACUUGUAAGUGUAAAUUUUGUAGGUUUAUUUUUCAUUUUUAUUUUGAUAGAGUAUAGCUACUUCAAUUUUUUUUACCUUAAAUUAAUGCUAACCAUUUAAGAAAUUAGGAAAUGCAUAGCUAUGGAUGCUGGAUCUCGCCAGUUGUCUUUUAUCUCUUAUCUUAAGGGAACCCUUAAUUAUCACGCACAUUUUGUG
Molecule: unclassified non-coding RNA, 479 nt
Filed under: Hevea brasiliensis (rubber tree)
Lineage: Eukaryota; Viridiplantae; Streptophyta; Magnoliopsida; Malpighiales; Euphorbiaceae
Source: RNAcentral